AUGGGGAGGGCGCCGUGCUGCGACAAGGCGACGGUGAAGAGGGGGCCAUGGUCACCGGAGGAGGAUGCGAUGCUCAAGGCCUACAUUGAGGAGCGUGGCACCGGCAACAACUGGAUUGCACUGCCACACAAGAUUGGGCUGAAAAGAUGCGGCAAGAGCUGCAGGCUGAGGUGGCUCAACUACCUGAGGCCCAACAUAAAACACGGGGACUUCACCCCAGAGGAGGACAGCACCAUCUGCAAGCUCUACAUUAGCAUCGGGAGCAGGUGGUCAAUCAUCGCCGCACAGCUGCCAGGAAGGACCGACAACGACGUCAAGAACUACUGGAACACCAAGCUCAAGAAGCGGCUCCUCGGCGGCCGCCGCAAGGACCGCGGCGCCGGCACGCAGCAGCACCGCCAGGGAGAGCUGGACGGCGCCAACAACGACGGCGAGCAGCAGCCGCUGAGCGCGUCGGCCAUGGAGAGGAUCCAGCUCUGCAUGCAGCUGCAGGAAAUGCAGAACCCCCUGAGCAGCAUCGGCAACCACAACAACUCCUUGCACCUGUGGCAGCCUAGCAGCCAUCAUCAGGUGGCCGCCACUCACAGUAACAACAGCAACAGCAACAGCAGCCGCAGCAGCAGCUUCGAUGUAACAGUAGCUGCUGAGCAGGGACAGUCCAGCUCUCUGAAUGGUCAGCACCUCGGCGGACAGCAGCAGAUGGAGACGACAGCCGCCGCAGACGGCCUGGCCUCCCCGUCGAGCGCGGGCAACUCAAACAUCGUCACCAUCGAAGCCGAGCUUCAGGAGCUUCUCUACAGUGCGACCACGACGACCACCGACAGCGUCGUCACACAGCAAGGGGGUGUGGACUGGUGGAGCUAUGAUCAGGGCAAGUCCCCAGUGAAUUGCUGGGAUUUCACCCCUGAAACCAGCUCGGUUCUCCAGGACUACGCAGCUGUGGUGUAUGACAUGUGA
This 957-nucleotide ribosomal RNA is filed under the name Triticum aestivum (bread wheat). RNAcentral describes it as "partial small subunit ribosomal RNA". The record is from RNAcentral. Lineage: Eukaryota; Viridiplantae; Streptophyta; Magnoliopsida; Poales; Poaceae.